CCAGAGAAUUUAGCAGAGAUGCUUUAGUGCCUUCGGGAACUCUGAGACAGGUGCUGCAUGGCUGUCGUCAGCUCGUGUUGUGAAAUGUUGGGUUAAGUCCCGCAACGAGCGCAACCCUUAUCCUUUGUUGCCAGCACGUAAUGGUGGGAACUCAAAGGAGACUGCCGGUGAUAAACCGGAGGAAGGUGGGGAUGACGUCAAGUCAUCAUGGCCCUUACGAGUAGGGCUACACACGUGCUACAAUGGCGCAUACAAAGAGAAGCGACCUCGCGAGAGCAAGCGGACCUCAUAAAGUGCGUCGUAGUCCGGAUUGGAGUCUGCAGCUCGACUCCAUGAAGUCGGAAUCGCUAGUAAUCGUAAAUCAGAAUGUUACGGUGAAUACGUUCCCGGGCCUUGUACACACCGCCCGUCACACCAUGGGAGUGGGUUGCAAAAGAAGUAGAUAGCUUAACCUUCGGGAGGGCGUUUACCACUUUGUGAUUCAUGACUGGGGUGAAGUCGUAACAAGGUAAGCGUAGUGCU
This 522-nucleotide ribosomal RNA is filed under the name uncultured bacterium. RNAcentral's name for it is "bacterial SSU rRNA". It matches the Rfam family "Bacterial small subunit ribosomal RNA", at positions 988 to 1509 of the family's 1533-position model. The record is from RNAcentral.